RNAcentral lists this non-coding RNA (31 nucleotides) under Mus musculus (house mouse). Lineage: Eukaryota; Metazoa; Chordata; Mammalia; Rodentia; Muridae. The record is from RNAcentral.
UCCUUACCAAUAUACACUAUGUAUAUACCUC